Anas platyrhynchos (mallard) is the source of this 596-nucleotide non-coding RNA. The record is from RefSeq and is a predicted model, not a curated record. NCBI's taxonomy places the organism in Eukaryota, Metazoa, Chordata, Aves, Anseriformes, Anatidae.
GCCCCUGUCAGAGCUCCCCGACGCCUGGUGUUCUGGUUGUUUCUUUUGUCAGCCUGAGUUCCUUAGCAACCUGUCUUCUGGUGAUAUGUCAGUCGUUCCCCCUGCACCAGCAAUUACUGCACUCGAUUUCUACCAAAUUUGGCAAAAGCACAGAAAUAGCAAAGACACUGUCUGCCUGCAAGUUCUGUGGAAAUGGGUGAUUUAGUAAAGCAGAGAGGUUCUGCUUUUGUACCUUCCCAGAGAGAGGGGCAGGACUGGCUCCAGCCCUCUCCUACCGCCUGGCAAGCAGCACGGCCUGCCCAGCCUGCCAGGAUGAGAGCCCAAAACAGUCUUUCAACAUUAUCACGUGCCUAAGCAGACUAGAUCAUGGAGCCAAUGCUUUUCUUGGGAUAUUGUGGACUUGAAAUCAGAACUGAAAUAAAAUUGAGCUGUUGUGUUGCCUCAAUGCGGUGAUGACAUUCUGUUCCAGAUGUCCGCAACAAUGACCUCAUCUAAAACUGCAAUUCCCUGACACUUCAGUCAUUUUCAGACAAAUUCUGAAAAAAAAAAAAAAAAAAAAGGAAAAAGAAAGAAAGAAAGAAAAAAAAAAAAAAAAA